GUCUAGAGCCACGCCCCUUAGCCUGGGGCAUCCAUGAAUAGACUGGGCUGCCCCCAUAUCAAACCGGAAAGCAAAGCCUCCUGGGUAUCUCUGGCUUAGAGACCCGCUGGGAAAUUGCCACCAGGGUCUCCCUUGCUGGAAGCUUCGGAGUGACAUGAGAUCUCAGGCCCUGCUUGGACCUUCUGACCCCUCAACUUUAUCUUAAGAGCCCAGGGGAUCUGGGCAGUGCCCCCAGAGCUCCCAUCAGCACCCAGCACCCCUCACCUCCCCGAGAAUCCCCU
RNAcentral lists this long non-coding RNA (281 nucleotides) under Homo sapiens (human). RNAcentral's name for it is "non-protein coding lnc-ANO1-5:1". Lineage: Eukaryota; Metazoa; Chordata; Mammalia; Primates; Hominidae. The record is from RNAcentral.